CCAGCAGUAAACGGGACAGGAAGCACGACCGCCGGCCACCCACAAGCCCCACCCAAAUCCGAAGAACACGUUCCCACUCACACUGCAGAGCUGCCGCCGCCGCCGCCGCUCGCCGAAGAAUCGUCUCCUCGCCGUCGAUCGCUCCGGAUUCCGCUCCGGAUUUCGCCUCCCCGCCCCUUCCGCUGCUCUCCGCCGGCGCCGGCGACCGACAUACCGACCGUGAUGAGCUCGUGAGGAUCGCCGAGAAAUGUCAUGCCAUGUGCACUCGAAGUAACUGACAAAAGGCCGAAGAACACGUCGCGUAUGCGGUGUAACGGACUGGUUGGGAACGACAACUUCUUUCCAGAGGACCAUCUAAUUCACAGACCGGUUUACGGCUUCCCUGAUAACAGGGCAGUCACUGUGGUCCUCUCACCUGUUAUUCAGUUUUUCGGGAAGCUACUUGUUUACUGUCUUUUUGUGGUGUGGCAGGGACAGUCCAUUUACGGUGCUUUCUCUUGGGCACAGUUCAGAUUGGAAAUUGGCGCCGUUUUCAUCUAGCAGACAGGAGGUCAACAGGGCAAGAUAUUUGACAUUAGGAACUGCUGCUACAGAGGGCUUUGAGUUACUAUUCCCACAGCCAACAAUAGUAUACUGGCUAGAUCUGCCGAAUGAAAAGAACAUGCAUGAUCAGGACAUUUCUUCUAAACCACAUCCCAAUGGAGGAAGCACUGUAGGACAACAUCGGCAUAGGAAAAAGAUUAAGAAGUCAUUGACAGCUUGCCCUCCCUGCCACGCGGUUGCAAGUACCUCUUCUGGGCCUGAUACUGCUCCUCUGGGAUCUGAUUCUGAUAUUUUGCAUGACGAUGACAAGCCUCCUAAAAGGAGUUCUAAGAAGAAAGUAAACAAGUGGAAACAGUGCAGGCGAGCAACCGGUGAAAAGCUUAAUUUGUUGCCAGAACUCCCCUGUGAAGAGCAUAUUGAUACCGCUUCUCCUGUUGAGGUAUUUCUGCCUGAUUUACUAGCUGGUAAAUUGUCAGAUGCCUCGUCAUCUGCCUGCUCAUUGGUUAAAGAUGCCCAUUUGGGCAAAGAUAAUGGUGAGAGCAACAAUGAAUAUGUGGAACACGGAAGUGAUGGGAAGGAUGGCUCUGGAUAUGCAGGGUCAUCUAAUAUAUAUGUAGGCAAAAGAGUUAGCUGCAAAGGUGCUCCUUACCUGAAUGAUGGGCCAAAUACUGCGGAUUCUUCAGAAUUUGGUGAACCUUCUGUCACUGAACAUGCGAGAGAAGAAAGCAAUAGCUGCCAGAAGUCAUUGUGUGCCUGUGUUUGUAACUCCAGUGAUGCAACCACAGCUUCAUUCUUUACGGGUUGGAACAGUGAAAACUGUGGGGAUUGCAGUAUUGAUUUUGAGGGAAAUACACGAGAUGGUUUGCAACAUGGCGCUUCUACUUGUCUGGAUAGUGUAAAUAAGGUAUGCCAUUUGACAGAUGUCCAUUUAAGUGGCGCUCAUGCUGAAGAUGUUACUGAUACUAGUAGUCAUUCUGAAAGAGUUCAGUGCAGCAGUGAAGCCUGUAGCAGCAAGACGUUUCUUCCAGUUAGUCCGGGGAGGAGCGGCAGGAAAUCAAGAAACAAAUCUAGCUGUACUAAUGUGACUGCGACUAAUAGGGUAGUAGGUUCUAAUAGGCACAAGCAUAGUGGAAAAGACAGUCCAGUUUCUGUGUGGCAGAAAGUAGAAAAAACUGACAAGGAAAACUCAUCUGGAGCAGGACAUGUGGUUGUUUCAGCAGUUGAGGAUAAAAGUGCACUAGAAGAUGAUAGCAAGGGUGUGCAGCACGAUCCAAAUAGGCCAAUGGAUAAACAUCGCUGUAGAAAAAACUGCAAACAGCACAAGAAGCAAACCUUGUCUCUGUAUGAACAAACAAGUUUGUCUUGUAAAAAGGGUAGCUGUCCGUCGCCGAGGAACUACUACGCUCCUAAGAAUGGUAGCCCCAAGACGCCCAAGAACCACUCGCAACAGACUGAAGGAUUGUCGAUGUUACAGCCAGUAUGUGCCGGGGACAUCAGUGAUACAUCAAUCAUAACUGGUACUGAAAAAGCAACAGUAGCAUCUUACAACUUGGGUUCUCAUUUGGUGCCACAAGUUACAUCCAACGAACCAUGCACAUUGGUGAUUCAAGACGAUAGUCACUCUCUUUGCCUUGAAAAUAAGGCCAUAUCAACAGAUUUGGACUGCAGGAACUUGUGCGUCGGUCCUUGCGCCGCAGAAAUGGAAGAAACUCAAUGUGUGAAGUCAUAUUCUUCUGCUGGGCACAUGUCACAUAAAUGGGUUCCUAUUGGAAAGAAAGAUAUAACACAUUUGGAUGUUCCAGAGGCUUCUGUUGUUGAAGCAUCAGUUCCAGCUAAUGAUGUUUCUCUUUUUGCUAAUAUAGAAGUGCAGAGAAAUGUUUCAGAUGCUCCUGCAUCAACUAAAUGUGAAGGCAGCAAAGUUGCUACUGAGUUGACUGCUAAACCGAAGCCAUCUGGACAGCUUGAUUCGAAAUGCCAAGGACAUACUGACAAUGGAACUGUUUUCAGCAUGAUAAGAGAGGCAGUGAGUGAUGCUCAUACCGCCCAACAGAGAGCGGAAGAUAUUCAACUUCACAUUGGCAGGCCUCUUGCUGAUUUUGAACAAUUUAUUUAUUCUGCUUCUCCAGUUCUGCACUGUAGCUCUUGCCCUACUGGCUGCAACUCUUCUUCACAGGAAUGGAUUAGAGAUGGCUUGUGCUGUCAUCAGACUGCAGAUAUCUCUCUAAGUAGCAUUUGGCAGUGGUAUGAAGAACCUGGCUGCUAUGGCUUGGAAGUGAAGGCACAGGAUCUCCGUAGAUCGAAAGGCUUAUGGAAUAGUCGUUAUCAGUUUAAUGCCUACUUUGUGCCAUACCUAUCUGCGGUUCAAUUGUUUAGGCAACCUAAGAGAACCGUUGAUAAGGAUGAAGCCGAUAUGGGUGCAAGAUCUAAAACAUCUCCAUGUAUGAGCUCUCUCCCAAUAUUAGCGAAGCUUCUACCUCAAGAGUCUAAUAAAAGAAAUAGCUCGCCGGCUUUCCGUGAUAAAGAUGAUCAGCAGUUGGAGGCUACAGAGCUCAUAUUUGAAUUCUUUGAAUCUGAACAACCAUUUUGGCGGCGACAGUUAUUUGACAGGGUAAAGGAGUUGAUUGGUGGUGCAAAACAAUCAAAUUGCCAAAUAUCAGGAGACCCAAAGAAUCUGGAGCUCAACCUGCAUGAUCUUCAUCCCGCCUCUUGGUACUGUGUCGCGUGGUAUCCCAUAUACCGUAUACCUGAUGGGAAAUUCCAGGCUGCUUUCCUGACGUACCAUUCUCUUGGACACUGGGUUCAUCGAGGAAACUCAGCAGAUCAGGCUGGCCAUUGUAAUGCUGUUUUGCCAGUCAUGGGUUUGCAAUCUUACAACGACAAGGGGGAGUGGUGGUUUCAGACGAGCAGAUCCGGUUCGGAAGACUCAGAGUCCUCGUCAAGUGAACCAUCUCAGGUUCUUGAAGAAAGGUUGUCGACGCUGAACCAAGCCGCGGCGGCCAUGGCCAGGGCGGACGUGUGGAAGAAGGACCAGGCCCACAGGAACAGGCACCCGGACUAUGAGUUCUUCCUGUCCCGACAGCAACGGUAGACGACCCCAAGCUUUUUGCACACACCAUGUUUCAGAACACGGACGGGGGCCACUUUCCCUGUAACCAGAACCAUGCGGACUGAGCGGCGCCGUCCGCCUGUGUUACCCCUGUAUAUAUUUGAGAUAGAGGUACAUGUGGAGGUGCUGCUCAAUUGAAAGUGAAACCAGACCAGAAAAUGUUUAGCUCGCUGCUUACUUACUAGUUGGGGUUGAUAUCAUAGGUGCAACCCUUUUUAAAUCUAAUUAGCUUGCUCACCCAUGUGAUGUGUGUACAUAUAUGCCUGUAACUCAACUCAGCACUGUAUCUAUCUAACUCUGUAGCUGCAUAAUAUAGAUCUGAUCACCAACAAUGCAGGAAAUUAGCAGGAAACCAUCGUCAUUCAUUGAGAAUGAGAAGGGAUCACUCAUGUCUGCAACUGCAAUGCAACCCAACACUGGCUGUGUGUAACACUGUAACUCUUAGCUUAUGGGAUACUGUAACUAGAUCUGGCCAGCAACAAGGCAGGCAUCUUUUAUUUAUGCUAUGACUAU
Molecule: ribosomal RNA, 4162 nt
Filed under: Triticum aestivum (bread wheat)
Lineage: Eukaryota; Viridiplantae; Streptophyta; Magnoliopsida; Poales; Poaceae
Description: partial small subunit ribosomal RNA
Source: RNAcentral